This 77-nucleotide non-coding RNA is filed under the name Palpitomonas bilix. The record is from RNAcentral.
CUCUCUUCUUUUUUUUUUUUCUCAUGUUUAAUCACAAAAAGCACUACGCGCAUGUCAUCUGACGUCAUCCACAAUGA